This 253-nucleotide ribosomal RNA is filed under the name uncultured bacterium. RNAcentral's name for it is "partial 16S ribosomal RNA". It matches the Rfam family "Bacterial small subunit ribosomal RNA", at positions 524 to 776 of the family's 1533-position model. The record is from RNAcentral.
UACGUAGGGCUCGAGCGUUGUCCGGAUUUAUUGGGCGUAAAGAGCAUGUAGGUGGUUUCUCAAGUCGAAUUUCAAAGUCCGAGGCUUAACUUCGGUUCUGGAUUCGAUACUAGGAAGCUUUGAGAAUAGUAGGGGCAAGCGGAACUCCCGGUGUAGCAGUGAAAUGCGUUGAUAUCGGGAAGAACACCAAUGGCGAAGGCAGCUUGCUAGGCUAUUCUGACACUGAGAUGCGAAAGCGUGGGGAGCGAACGGG